CCUACGGGAGGCAGCAGUGGGGGAUAUUGCACAAUGGGGGGAACCCUGAUGCAGCGAAGCCGCGUGAGCGAAGAAGUACCUCGGUAUGUAAAGCUCUAUCAGCAGGGAAGAAAAUGACGGUACCUGACUAAGCAGCCCCGGCUAAAUACGUGCCAGCAGCCGCGGUAAUACGUAGGGGGCAAGCGUUAUCCGGAUUUACUGGGUGUAAAGGGAGCGCAGGCGGCUUGCCAAGUCAGGUGUGAAAACCCGGGGCCCAACCCCGGGCCUGCAGUGGAAACUGGCGGGCUGGAGUGUAGGAGGGGCAGGCGGAAUUCCUGGUGUAGCGGUGAAAUGCGUAGAUAUUAGGAGGAACACCGGUGGCGAAGGCGGCCUGCUGGACGAUGACUGACGCUGAUGCUCGAAAGCGUGGGUAGCAAACAGGAUUAGAUACCCCAGUAGUC
This 440-nucleotide ribosomal RNA is filed under the name uncultured bacterium. RNAcentral describes it as "partial 16S ribosomal RNA". It matches the Rfam family "Bacterial small subunit ribosomal RNA", at positions 338 to 795 of the family's 1533-position model. The record is from RNAcentral.